CGGGUGAGUAACACGUGGAUAACCUACCUAUAAGACUGGGAUAACUUCGGGAAACCGGAGCUAAUACCGGAUAAUAUAUUGAACCGCAUGGUUCAAUAGUGAAAGACGGUUUUGCUGUCACUUAUAGAUGGAUCCGCGCCGCAUUAGCUAGUUGGUAAGGUAACGGCUUACCAAGGCAACGAUGCGUAGCCGACCUGAGAGGGUGAUCGGCCACACUGGAACUGAGACACGGUCCAGACUCCUACGGGAGGCAGCAGC
RNAcentral lists this ribosomal RNA (258 nucleotides) under uncultured Staphylococcus sp. RNAcentral describes it as "partial 16S ribosomal RNA". It matches the Rfam family "Bacterial small subunit ribosomal RNA", at positions 103 to 355 of the family's 1533-position model. Lineage: Bacteria; Bacillati; Bacillota; Bacilli; Caryophanales; Staphylococcaceae. The record is from RNAcentral.